Long non-coding RNA from Triticum urartu, 1758 nucleotides. RefSeq lists it as uncharacterized. The record is from RefSeq and is a predicted model, not a curated record. NCBI's taxonomy places the organism in Eukaryota, Viridiplantae, Streptophyta, Magnoliopsida, Poales, Poaceae.
CCGCCCAGGCCCGAGUGCUGCCGCCGCCACGACCAGCGCCCGCAGAGCGCUCGACCCCAAGCUCCUCCUCCCGUGCGCUUCCUCCCUGGCCUCCCUCGCGCGUCGCCAGCUCCUCGGCCUCCCUCGCGCGUCGUCCGGCGACCGGCGCCGCCGCCGGCGACCACCCAGGUCACGCCGCCGCUCCCCUGCCUUCUCUCUUUCCUCUAUCUCUCUCUCUCUAAUCUCCUUGUCUCUCCUUCUCUCCAGGAGCUCAGUGCCAGCGCCAUGGAUGCCCAGUCCUCGAGCUCUCCUUGGAGGUUCGAACGCCGCCACGGGACCUUCACCGGCCAGAUCCGGCGCCUCCCUCCAGGAUCCGCGCGCCCUCCACCUCCUCGACCCGAUCCGGCGCCGCCCAACCCGCCAUGACCUCCACCAUGGCUCCCGUCGAGAUCCUGUGCAUCCUCUCCGUCGACGCACCAUCGUCGCAUGAGGACUUGGAUGCCUGGCUCGCUGACAACCUCCCCCAAAUCCUACAGGAGGUUCAGCCAGGAUGUUCAUGGGAGCCUUCGGCCGGCUGAUUGGCCUCCCCAGCCCAUGUCCAUGGGUUGACUCCAUCCGCCUCUGCCCCGAUCACCGGCCUGGACCAGGAGCAUCUUCUAUGUUGCAAGCAAAGAUUAUGAAACACCUGAACCAUCUUGCACGCGAUGGGCGUUCCGCAGCGUGUUCAGAAUAAUACUUCGCAAGGGACAGCAGCUCGACGUCGAGCAGCAGCAGCAGGUUCUGCAACUUCGACGACCCCGAUGAGUCCGCGAUCAUGCUCAACUCCUACCAGAAGGGUGUGGAGGAGUUUCCCCUUGAACACCAUGACCUGAUUCUAAGGUCAUUGUUCUACUGGCACUCACUUCACCUGAACGGCUGGAUCAGAUGAUAGUGGAUAUACGCAGUGUAGUAUAUUGCUAUAAGAUACAAGCCUCCCUCUUCUGCCCUUCUUUUCUCCAUCCUCUGCUGGUCGCUAGCACAUGUGAAUCGUUCUCGUCAAGAGCAUGCUUGUGACAUCAUUACUGUAUGUGAUGCAGGGCAAAAGGAUGUUGUCAGAAGUGUGACAAGUCGUGUGAGAUGAAGGUGAUGAACCAUCUCAAUGUGAAGCCAAGUAUGCCAUGGAUUUGCCAUGGAUGAUGGAAGACUGGUAAAGAGAUGAUUCAAAAAUUGCUUGCCAAUAGGCAGCUGGAUGUCAAGGAGGCCGAAGCCCGUUGUGCCAAAACUAACACAUUAGAAUCUUUCAAUUUGCUGCUACCAUAUUUCAAAGUAAGAACACCGAUGAUGCAAAGGAAUCUUAUUAUGUAGCCAUAUGUAAUCUCAAUUUGUUGCUAUGUAUAAACUAUGAUAGGAGUAGGCAUGUAUAGAUGUGUAUCCAUUUUUGCUUUCUACUGAUCUAGGACAAAGGGGAUGUGCUGGACUAAGUGGCCGUUGCUAUUGAAGCAAAGGAGUGGAACUCGCAAUUUUUCAAUCAAUGGAGGUUUGAUUGGUGAAGCUACAUUCAGCAAAGAAGAUAUGUUUAUUUGUAGGGAAUUUUUGCAGGUACAAUCCAUCCAGCCAUACAUAAGACUGAUAUUCUCAUUCUUUAACAAUGUGUACAUGGCCUCUACUCUGCCGUGUGUUGAGAAAAGGCUCUGUCGUGCAUUGAGAAAAGGCCGGACAUAUAUUGUUGUUUGUAUAACCUUACUUUGUAAAAUAAUUUGUGGUAACAAACAUGUUAAAAAGGGUGCAAUUUUUUUUCUA